This 387-nucleotide ribosomal RNA is filed under the name uncultured Chrysophyceae. Its description in RNAcentral is "partial small subunit ribosomal RNA". It matches the Rfam family "Eukaryotic small subunit ribosomal RNA", at positions 30 to 432 of the family's 1831-position model. The record is from RNAcentral. Lineage: Eukaryota; Chrysophyceae.
GCUUGUCUCAAAGAUUAAGCCAUGCAUGUCUAAGUAUAAACACCUUUAUACUGUGAAACUGCGUACAGCUCAUUAAAUCAGUAAUAAUUUAUUUGAUGGUGACUUACUACAUGGAUAACCGUAGUAAUUCUAGAGCUAAUACAUGCAUCAAUCCUCUAUUUGAGGUGUAUUUAUUAGAUUGUAACCAAAGCGGGGUAACCCGGUAUAUGGUGAUUCAUAAUAACUUUCGGAUCGAUUUUAAUCGAUGCAUCAUUCAAGUUUCUGCCCUAUCAGCUUUGGAUGGUAGGGUAUUGGCCUACCAUGGCUUUAACGGGUAACGGAGAAUUAGGGUUCGAUUCCGGAGAGGGAGCCUGAGAAAUGGCUACCACAUCCAAGGAAGGCAGCAGG